UACGUAGGGUGCGAGCGUUAAUCGGAAUUACUGGGCGUAAAGCGUGCGCAGGCGGCUUUUUAAGCCAGAUGUGAAAUCCCCGGGCUUAACCUGGGAACUGCAUUUGGAACUGGAAGGCUAGAGUGCGGCAGAGGAGAGUGGAAUUCCCGGUGUAGCAGUGAAAUGCGUAGAGAUCGGGAGGAACAUCAGUUGCGAAGGCGGCUCUCUGGACCAGUACUGACGCUGAGGCACGAAAGCGUGGGGAGCAAACAGG
RNAcentral lists this ribosomal RNA (253 nucleotides) under uncultured bacterium. Its description in RNAcentral is "partial 16S ribosomal RNA". It matches the Rfam family "Bacterial small subunit ribosomal RNA", at positions 524 to 776 of the family's 1533-position model. The record is from RNAcentral.